This 184-nucleotide ribozyme is filed under the name Tursiops truncatus (common bottlenose dolphin). Its description in RNAcentral is "Beta-globin co-transcriptional cleavage ribozyme (ENSTTRG00000022470.1)". It matches the Rfam family "Beta-globin co-transcriptional cleavage ribozyme". From Rfam's summary of the family: Transcription termination of RNA polymerase II transcripts is proposed to occur by a two stage process. The first stage involves pre-termination cleavage (PTC) of the nascent transcript downstream of the poly(A) site. Lineage: Eukaryota; Metazoa; Chordata; Mammalia; Artiodactyla; Delphinidae. The record is from Rfam by way of RNAcentral.
ACAUAGUGUUACCAGCAGCAACACAUGCCAAUUUAAUUUUAUUAUUCAAUAGUCACUUAUGUGGAUGCUUGAUUCUGGAAAUAAUAUAUGAAUUUCAAGUAAUCCUUGUCCCCUGCUGCAUCCCAAUUCUGAAUCUAGUUGGGAAGAUUCUGAAGGUAAUGCAUCUAACAAGUGACUAUAGAUG